CAGCAGCCACGGGAAUACGUAGGUGGCAAGCGUUGUCCGGAAUUAUUGGGCGUAAAGGGCUCGCAGGCGGUUUCUUAAGUCUGAUGUGAAAGCCCCCGGCUCAACCGGGGAGGGUCAUUGGAAACUGGGAAACUUGAGUGCAGAAGAGGAGAGUGGAAUUCCACGUGUAGCGGUGAAAUGCGUAGAGAUGUGGAGGAACACCAGUGGCGAAGGCGACUCUCUGGUCUGUAACUGACGCCGAGGAGCGAAAGCGUGGGGAGCGAACAGGAUUAGAUACCCCGGUAGUCCCUGUCUCUUAUAC
This 301-nucleotide ribosomal RNA is filed under the name uncultured bacterium. RNAcentral's name for it is "partial 16S ribosomal RNA". It matches the Rfam family "Bacterial small subunit ribosomal RNA", at positions 509 to 807 of the family's 1533-position model. The record is from RNAcentral.